RNAcentral lists this long non-coding RNA (814 nucleotides) under Ictidomys tridecemlineatus (thirteen-lined ground squirrel). RNAcentral's name for it is "lncRNA (ENSSTOG00000031568.1)". The record is from RNAcentral. Lineage: Eukaryota; Metazoa; Chordata; Mammalia; Rodentia; Sciuridae.
UUCUCUCCUUUCCUUUCUUUCUUUUCCCCUCCCAUCAUCUGACCUGCAAAGGCUAGAGUGACAGCGUCAUGCAAAUGCUGCAGUCCAGCAGGUCUGGGAGAGGGUGGAUGCUAGACUGUGAGUUAAUGUUAAUGAUGAGCGCAGUGAAAAUACCAGCCGCUGCCACCCCCUGCACACAGAAGCGCUCUGAGUCAGCAUCAGAUGCUUUGCCUCGCCUCUCGCCGUGUGUCUGUAUGCCUGUGUGCGCGCGCGUGCUCGCUCGGGCAUCCGUGUCUAGCCGAGGGGAGGGGGUGGCGUGUGAGUGCGUGGAGGGUAAAAGCCAGUCAGUCAGUGAGAAGCAAAGAUCAACCACUUCAGAAGAACCAGAUUCUACUUCUGUGGCCAGGACUUUUAUGUUAUGGCUGGUCCGAUUGUUUUACCCUGCGUUCUGUGCUACUAAGCCUUGGAUCAUUCCUAAAGUACAAAUUCUGUUCUCGAACCACAAACAAGGCUAAAAGAUCGGAGGAAAUUCAGUGAAUAUACUGGAUUGAGAUUGUGUGUUUUCAAGAGUAUCGAGCAUUAUAAUGUAGUUAUUCAAGAAAUAGAAUCAUUUUUCUUUCUUAUGAUGUUGCCAGGAUUUUAAGUUACAUGUUUAUUAAGUGGCAUUGCUCAAAUAACUACAGAGUAUGCAUGGAAAUAUUUGUUGUCUGGGUAGUUUGGAGAUUUAAUGAAAAAAAUUGAGCUUCAGAGGUAUUAAAUUAUGACAUGCAAAAAAGUUUUUGUUUGAUUCUUAACUGCAACGGUAUAUGUGUAAAUCAGAUUUAGAGGGUUAUAU